This 467-nucleotide long non-coding RNA is filed under the name Homo sapiens (human). Its description in RNAcentral is "non-protein coding lnc-MTIF3-2:1". The record is from RNAcentral. Lineage: Eukaryota; Metazoa; Chordata; Mammalia; Primates; Hominidae.
AUGCCACACAGUCAUUGUUCACUUGCCAAGAGGCAGGGCUCUCAGGAAGGUGACUGUGGGGAGGUACAGAAAAUGAAGCAGACCAGUGUCCUUCCUUGUCCCCCAGUAUGCAGGGUACUGUUUCCCAGGCGGUCCCACAGAACAGCAGUGCCUCCCGAAAUUCUUCACUACAGACCUGCCACCGCCUUCAGCAUGCUAAUUGUGCAUGGUGGGGUGGCUCAGAGACCUGGCACAGCUCUGCUCACCUUUCCAACAACAUCAUACCCAGCACUUCACAAAAUAUCAUAGAGAAACCCUUUUACUUUAAAGCACACAGCAUUUCACUCUUGAAAAGCACUAAAUCAGUUCUGUGGGGACAAACAUUUACACCAUGCCUGCCAUUCAUGCCUGCCUUACCUUUAUGGGUUUCUCUCACAUGUUUCAGAAGUUCCGUCCAUGUUUUUGCCACAAAGGAACAUCCUUUUUGA